UUCUUCCUCACCAUAUGGAAAUCAUUGAAGAAAUCGACAAGAGGGUUUGUCCAUCCUGUCUUAUUUUCUCUCUUUAUUAUGUGUAUAUUGUUUUACAAUUUUUGAAAAAAGAAGAUGAAAUUCUUGCAGUUUAUAGCAAUGAUACGUUCAACAAAACCAGAACUUGAAAGUAAGCUUUCCAGCAUGCGCAUUAUGGAUAACAAUCCCCAAAAACCAGUUGUGCGGAUGGCAAAUUUAUGCGUGGUGUCUUCACAUGCGGUGAAUGGUGUUGCCCAGUUGCAUAGUGACAUUUUAAAGUCUGAGUUAUUUGCAGACUAUGUCUCUAUAUGGCCUAAGAAGUUCCAGAAUAAAACCAAUGGGAUAACUCCUCGCAGAUGGCUUUGAUUUUGUAGCCCUGAACUCAGCCACAUCAUCACCAAACGGUUAAAAAAUGAUCAAUGGGUGACCAACCUUGACCUACUUGUAGAUCUUCAGAAAACUUCCAAGCUGAGUGGGAAUCAGCCAAGAUGGCUGACAAGCAGCGAUUAGCUCAGUUCAUAUUUCAAGUGACAGGUGUAAGCAUUGACCCAAAUAGCCUCUUUGACUUACAGUUCUAGCGGAUCCAUGAAUAUAAAAGACAGCUGCUAAAUAUUCUGGGUGUGGUCUAUAGGUACAAGAAGUUAAAGAUUGGAUUGGGGUGGCGUUUUUGACGUGCAACAAUGAUGUAAUUUGCUUGAAUGUUCAUUUUGUUUGAUAAGGAUACACAUACUUUGUGGAGUUGCACUAGUUAUUGUUGGAUGUUUGGUAGAAUUGUAUAAGUUAUAAGUUUUAGAUA
Non-coding RNA from Camellia sinensis, 814 nucleotides. Lineage: Eukaryota; Viridiplantae; Streptophyta; Magnoliopsida; Ericales; Theaceae. The record is from RefSeq and is a predicted model, not a curated record.